AGGGUGCAAGCGUUACUCGGAAUUACUGGGCGUAAAGCGUGCGUAGGUGGUCGUUUAAGUCCGUUGUGAAAGCCCUGGGCUCAACCUGGGAACUGCAGUGGAUACUGGACGACUAGAGUGUGGUAGAGGGUAGCGGAAUUCCUGGUGUAGCAGUGAAAUGCGUAGAGAUCAGGAGGAACAUCCAUGGCGAAGGCAGCUACCUGGACCAACACUGACACUGAGGCACGAAAGCGUGGGGAGCAAACAGGAUUAGAUACCCUGGUAGUCCACGCCCUAAACGAUGCGAACUGGAUGUUGGGUGCAAUUUGGCACGCAGUAUCGAAGCUAACGCGUUAAGUUCGCCGCCUGGGGAGUACGGUCGCAAGACUGAAACUCAAAGGAAUUGACGGGGGCCCGCACAAGCGGUGGAGUAUGUGGUUUAAUUCGAUGCAACGCGAAGAACCUUACCUGGCCUUGACAUGUC
This 463-nucleotide ribosomal RNA is filed under the name uncultured bacterium. Its description in RNAcentral is "bacterial SSU rRNA". It matches the Rfam family "Bacterial small subunit ribosomal RNA", at positions 529 to 990 of the family's 1533-position model. The record is from RNAcentral.